UUUGGUAGUAGGCGUAGAUAUGUAAGUUGGUUGAAGCAAAAUUUUAAAUAAGCAAGGUCUUCGAUUUUUAUACAAAAAUGGCUGCAAAACUUGUACAGAUAUGGUUACUGUAUUUGAUGGCGCCGUUUACGAUUUUCUCUUCACUGUGCAAGAUGGAAAUAAAAUGAGCAAUUAAGUGAAAUAUAUUUAUAAGACACAUGUUUGUAUGUGUAUACAUGUAUGCUUGUAAGGGAACAUUUUCCAGCAAUUACUGACAACAAGGUACGUUAUCAUUUUAAAAAGGAAUGACCAUUUUCAAGAGCUUUUCAGCAAACUUUGCACGGUUGGCCCAAGCUUUCUACAUGAUUAAACCCGACCAGAUCAGGAAUGUGUAUUUACAGUUCAGGUAAAGAUACACAGCCACGAACUUUUACUGUAAAAAAUGUCCUUAUGUAGGUGACGCAUAAUGUCCCCCGGGAGUACUAUAGGUACGGAUUAUUCCGUAUCUAGAAUAUAAUUGAAACAAUUAUUGCGUAAUGGUUCAAGCGCCAAAUUGCAAAAAUUUAA
This 546-nucleotide small RNA is filed under the name Drosophila ananassae. RNAcentral describes it as "GF26330". Lineage: Eukaryota; Metazoa; Arthropoda; Insecta; Diptera; Drosophilidae. The record is from RNAcentral.